GCUGUGUAUGUAAAACAUAUGUUAAGUGUUGGUGGAUUAAAAAUUUGAAGACAUCAAUGAGAAGGAACACAAAAACCAUGGUGCAUAAGAUAUGUCCAACAAGUCCUUUAAAAUACAGCUAUGGAUUGGAUUCAGCAGCCACAGUCACUUGAGCACCAGAUCCUUCUUGCUCCUAUGACAGAGGAUCCUUGACCUGUUUGAAAUUUACUGAAGCAGAAGCUCCAUUUGUCUGGUUAUGCUAUGCAAUGAUUCUGUCCAAAUACUGCAGAGGCACCAAAAGGGUAUUGAACAAAUCUUUUGGGGGAAGUCAUGAGGACACAAAGGAUAACUGUCUCCAACUUUGAAGCUGUGCUUAAUUUUAAGUGAAAAAGGAAUUUAGCUCGAUGAAUUGAUUGGGUGCUUAAGGUGUUUCACAUAAUUUAGUUCUGCAUCCUCCUCUCUGUGAAGUAUCUUAUGAGACUCUGUAUGCUAGGACAGCAAUUUUCAAGAUUGUGAAAGUCAAGCGUACCUACUCCGCUGCAUUAUUAACAGCUGAAGAUGCAGUCCAUUAUCUGAAGACUUAUACUUAGAAUAUGAGGAAGAUUCUUUACAUCUGAAAACUGACCUUGUCUACUACCACCAGAUUCAAGGUCAACACAUGUGUAACAAGACAUGUUGCAUCUUCUUGGUUGGGACCCUGGUCAACAGUGUCAUUAUUGUAAGAAUUGUGUAGGAUAAGGAAUGUACUAAAAAUAUUGCACUGCUAUAAAUUUUUACUACAGUACCUUUAUUCCAGCACCAAGAGAAAACUAGAAACUUUGACAAACUAUGUUGGUCUCUGUACUGUUCCGUAAUUGAUAUGACAAUGUAAAUCUGAGAUAAAUAAAGUGAAGGAGAUUAUGUUAAAAAAAAUAAUAAUAAAAUUUCAAUUCAGUACUUUUUUAGUGCAUGAACAUACAACAUUUGGUAGUAAAUUCCAUACACGUGUAGUUCAGUGACAUGUAAAAAUACACUUUCUGCAUAAUGUCUAAUUUUUAAUCAUUCAUUUGUAAAACAUGAUCAUUUAAAUAUUGCAACAAGUAA
This is a long non-coding RNA of Saccostrea echinata, 1062 nucleotides long. RefSeq lists it as uncharacterized. The record is from RefSeq and is a predicted model, not a curated record. NCBI's taxonomy places the organism in Eukaryota, Metazoa, Mollusca, Bivalvia, Ostreida, Ostreidae. The transcript has 4 exons.